AAGAUCAUUCAUUGAUUUGUAAUUCAGUUGUUUUAUUUGAUCUUACAAUUAUUCCUUGCGUUCUAUGUCCUGGAAUUGCUUAUGUAUAUAGUAUAUGCAUUUGGAUAUGAUUAUGUAACGUUGGUAUGAUGGACCGUAGCUAGAGAGCCAAUUUUAGAAUUGUUCGGUUAUAAAGAACUAAAGGCAGCAUUGAAGGAUCCCAGUUUCUUGCUUUCCGUAAAAUGAAGAGAAACUUUGUGGUAUUUGGGCAUAUCCGUUGAAAAACUAAU
RNAcentral lists this unclassified non-coding RNA (269 nucleotides) under Hevea brasiliensis (rubber tree). The record is from RNAcentral. Lineage: Eukaryota; Viridiplantae; Streptophyta; Magnoliopsida; Malpighiales; Euphorbiaceae.